CACGUAGCCCUAUCAGUAAGGUUCCGGAAUUGUGGGUUACAACCUUGGGAUUUGGGGACACUCUGAUGCUCUGGGUUCCGGCACCUGACUUGUGCCCACCCAAACCCCAACCUUGCUAAUAACAUAAAGAUUCCAGGCGUCUUGGGGCAGCGGUGACUCACCGCAGCACCCCCUCCUCUUCGCCUAACUGCCGUCUCCGCCCACCCCCAAACCAUCUCAACAACGCACGGCGGCUCCGGGAGCUUUGCUGGGGGCUAAAGGCGUUCAUCUUCGUCCUCGCAAUCAUGGGCUAACCCUCCCCCCUCGGAGUCUUCAAGCUUGCCUCGCUCCCCACACGACCCCUCGGUUGAGCAGCGGAGAUAGAUGAGACAUCCAGAUGCGGGACUCGAGCCACUCAUAGCGCGUGGAGGGAGCAGCCAAGAGCCCCGGGUUACCAGCAACAGGACUUUCUCAUCUACAAAAUGGGAAUAAUGUGGCAUUUACCCCAACAGAACUGUUGUGAGGGUUAAACAAGAGAAUGAAGCUCACAGAAUGUGUAAGUGUGGGGCACAUUUCGAUCUGCUGAUGUAUGUGCACAGAGGAAGAAUGGAUGGAGGCUUGAAGAUGGACUUCAAAUCCUGCAGGGAUCAUGUGCUCUUGUGUUCCUGGCAAAUCCUGAGCAAUGCUUUUGUUGAGUCUGGUGUCAAGUUUGUGGCUAACACCUUUCUAAAGGGAAACAUAGGGCCUUGAUGCUCAUACUUUCUCUCUGGGACAACAUAGGAUUUUCAUUUUCAGAACAGGUACAUAUAGGAUUUCAUUAAUAAUCCAAGGUGUUAUCUAAGCCUAGUUUCGUGUCCAAUGCACUGUGGAAAACGCCUCAGGCGUUUGAGCUAAGCCACUAAGAAAGGCAAGGAAGCUAAUCCAGUUACUCUUUUUUGUGCCAGCCAUUUGACCCACUGACGUUCUGAGCACUGGUGUGCCUGCCAAGACUGGAAGCGGACCACUCCUGUACUUUUGCAUUGACUUCCCCCUGAGAGCAGGAAAGCAUCCCUUUCCUUUUUCAAGUGGACCCGGAUGCAGAGUCAACCAGUUUUAACUCCUUUUCGAGCUUGAUUAAUAGUCUUUUGAGUCAAUUCCUGGUAGGAUGUGCAUCCUACACAUAUAACUUUUUUUCAGAAAUAGGGAAAUGAGUAGUUCCUAAGAUUGGAGCCAGGAAGAAAAUUUGGAACUUCACCAGGUUUUUUGCUUUUCGGGGGGACAGUUAUAAAAGCGAUUAAGGUAAAUUUAUUUAGAACAUCACUCACACUUCCAUCAUCUAACAAUGCUUUACCAUUUUUAUUUUAUUUAUUUAU
This is a long non-coding RNA of Balaenoptera musculus (blue whale), 1331 nucleotides long. RefSeq lists it as uncharacterized. The record is from RefSeq and is a predicted model, not a curated record. The transcript is spliced from 3 exons. NCBI's taxonomy places the organism in Eukaryota, Metazoa, Chordata, Mammalia, Artiodactyla, Balaenopteridae.